RNAcentral lists this ribosomal RNA (299 nucleotides) under uncultured microorganism. Its description in RNAcentral is "partial 16S ribosomal RNA". It matches the Rfam family "Archaeal small subunit ribosomal RNA", at positions 330 to 628 of the family's 1478-position model. The record is from RNAcentral.
GCGCAGCAGGCGCGAAACUGGCCAAUGCGCGAAAGCGUGAGCCGGCUAAUCUGAGUGGUUCCCCAUCGGGAACCUUUGCCAAGUGUACAAAGCUUGGCGAAUAAGGAGAGGGCAAGACUGGUGCCAGCCGCCGCGGUAAAACCAGCUCUUCGAAUCGUGGGCAUGAUUAUUUGGCUUAAAGUGUGCGUAGCAGGACAGGAUAAGUCUCCUGUGAAAUGCCAGGUCUUAAGCCUGGCGCGUGCGGGGAGAUACUAUCCGUCGUUGGGGACCGGAUAGGUAUGAUGUACACAAGUGGGGUA